CCUACGGGUGGCAGCAGUGGGGGAUAUUGCACAAUGGGGGGAACCCUGAUGCAGCGACGCCGCGUGGGUGAAGAAGCGCCUCGGCGCGUAAAGCCCUUUCAGCAGGGAAGAAAAUGACGGUACCUGAAGAAGAAGCCCCGGCUAUCUACGUCCCAGCAGCCGCGGUGAUACGUAGGGGGCAAGCGUGAUCCGGAUUUACUGGGGGUAAAGGGGGCGCAGACGGCGAUGCAAGCCAGGCGUGAAAGCCCGGGGCCCAACCCCGGGACUGCUCUUGGAACGGCGUGGCUGGAGUGCAGGAGGGGCAGGCGGAAUUCCUGGUGUAGCGGUGAAAUGCGUAGAUAUCAGGCGG
Molecule: ribosomal RNA, 349 nt
Filed under: uncultured bacterium
Lineage: Bacteria
Description: partial 16S ribosomal RNA
Rfam family: Bacterial small subunit ribosomal RNA
Source: RNAcentral